RNAcentral lists this ribosomal RNA (374 nucleotides) under uncultured organism. Its description in RNAcentral is "bacterial SSU rRNA". It matches the Rfam family "Bacterial small subunit ribosomal RNA", at positions 526 to 896 of the family's 1533-position model. The record is from RNAcentral.
CGUAGGGAGCAAGCGUUGUUCGGAUUUACUGGGCGUAAAGGGCGCGUAGGCGGCAAAUUAAGUCAGCUGUGAAAUCUCCGAGCUUAACUCGGAACGGUCAGCUGAUACUGAUCUGCUAGAGUGCGGAAGGGGCAAUCGGAAUUCUUGGUGUAGCGGUGAAAUGCGUAGAUAUCAAGAGGAACACCUGAGGUGAAGACGGGUUGCUGGGCCGACACCGACGCUGAGUGCGCGAAAGCCAGGGGAGCAAACGGGAUUAGAUACCCCGGUAGUCCUGGCCUUAAACGAUGAAUACUUGGUGUCUGGAGUCUCUAUAGCUCCGGGUGCCGUCGCUAACGUUUUUAGUAUUCCGCCUGGGGAGUACGCACGCAAGUGUG